This 419-nucleotide ribosomal RNA is filed under the name uncultured bacterium. RNAcentral's name for it is "bacterial SSU rRNA". It matches the Rfam family "Bacterial small subunit ribosomal RNA", at positions 355 to 774 of the family's 1533-position model. The record is from RNAcentral.
UGAGGAAUAUUGCACAAUGGGCGCAAGCCUGAUGCAGCGACGCCGCGUGUGGGACGAAGGGGCUACGCCUCGUAAACCACUGUAGCCCGGGACGAAAAACGCCUUAGAGGCGUUAGACGGUACCGGGAAAGUAAGGGUCGGCUAACUACGUGCCAGCAGCCGCGGUAAUACGUAGGACCCAAGCGUUAUCCGGAUUUACUGGGCGUAAAGCGCGUGCAGGCGGAUUGGAGAGUUGGAUGUGAAAGCUCCCGGCUUAACUGGGAGAGGUCGUUCANUACUUCCAGUCUUGAGUGCAGUAGAGGGAAGUGGAAUUCCGGGUGUAGUGGUGAAAUGCGUAGAUAUCCGGAGGAACACCAGUGGCGAAAGCGGCUUCCUGGACUGUAACUGACGCUCAGACGCGAAAGCUAGGGUAGCAAACG